ACUAAAUCUAAAGUAGAACAUUUUUAUGCUAAGUUAAAAUUUCUGGUAGUUUUUUCAUUCACAAUUUUUAAGCAAGAUUUUGCUACAGAUAGAGGGGUAUUGGACAGUCGGUCCCACGAAAAUUCGUUCUCCUAUUUUUUUACGCCUGAGAGCACUUGGCGCACAGCUGAUAAGCAGCGCAGCGCCGCAGCGUUUGGCGUUGGCGUCUACGCUAAUUAAACUCAUUUUCACUCAUCAAAACGCACAGCGGGAGCAUUGAGCGAGUGCGACAAUUGUCGCUAGAUAUGAUGAACUCCGGCAAGGCAAGAGGGGAGUGCUGGCCAUCGUCGUCGCCUUUGCCUUGGAAACAAAAGCAUGCUUCGCUAAUAAUGCUCAUGGAGGGCUGUCAAUAAGUAGUACUAUUCAUUUGAGCCAUAUUGUCUGGCAGACGAAGCAAGCAAUUUAAUUCAAGGUCAAUUUGAUUCAAGUCUUUGUUUAUGCGUUAACAGAGGAAUACUGAAUUUAAUUAUGGAAAAUAUGAGAAAAGCCAUGCUCGAGUGCCCCAAAUGCCCAAGUAUUAAGUCGCUUUAUUUAUGAGUUUAAUAAUAUUUGUACCCAAAUGUUGCCAUGAAAUAAAUUUCAUGAAGGCUCUAUACCAAAAUUUUACUUAGAAGCGUGAAAUAUGGAUGGAAAGGUGUUGCUGUAUUGAAUAAAUUUUAAAUGUAAUAUGUAUUUAUAUAUUUAAUUUAUUUGGAUACAUCUGGUUACCAAAGGUGGAAAUAGAAGGUGCGGGGUUGCACUCACGAGUCGCCUUUGGCAAAGAGUCUUACAUAGGAUUUCACAAUAAAUUAAUAUUAUUUCCGAUUGGGCUAAACGAGUUUUUUAAAUAAAAUAAAUGAGCACGUGUCUCACUUAAAUAGUCAAA
Drosophila virilis is the source of this 904-nucleotide non-coding RNA. The record is from RefSeq and is a predicted model, not a curated record. Lineage: Eukaryota; Metazoa; Arthropoda; Insecta; Diptera; Drosophilidae.